This 253-nucleotide ribosomal RNA is filed under the name uncultured bacterium. Its description in RNAcentral is "partial 16S ribosomal RNA". It matches the Rfam family "Bacterial small subunit ribosomal RNA", at positions 524 to 776 of the family's 1533-position model. The record is from RNAcentral.
UACGAAGGGGGCUAGCGUUGUUCGGAAUUACUGGGCGUAAAGCGUGCGCAGGCGGCUUCUCAAGUCAGGGGUGAAAGCCCAGAGCUCAACUCUGGAAUUGCCUUUGAGACUGAGUGGCUUGAGUACGAGAGAGGUGAGUGGAAUUCCACGUGUAGCGGUGAAAUGCGUAGAGAUGUGGAGGAACAACAGUGGCGAAGGCGACUCUUUGGCCUGUAACUGACGCUGAGGCGCGAAAGCGUGGGGAGCAAACAGG